UCUUCGUUUUUGUGAGCUCGGUGUUUGCACGUGAGACAACUGUUUUCUUCGUACGCGUCUAAUUUCUCAGAAUGUGUUGUGUGAGAUGGGAUUGCUAAGCAGCAGUGGGAUAUGUUACCGGAAUGGGCUGUAGCGAAUCCUAGAGUAGGAGCGAGUCUUCUCACAGAAUCGAGACAAUCAAGAUGGCAUCGAAAGGCGGCCCUGCCGCGUCCUCGCUGUGUGCUGGAUAGAAGAAGAAACUGCGGUUCCGGACCAAAUUUCGUGUUACAGCGUUGACGACGACGAAUGCGUUGGGGGAGCCGGGGCGAGCUGUACCACGCGGGCAAGCAGUACCUCCUCGAAAAGGAGGACACAAGUUGCAGUGCAGGCCGCGACUUUUACUUGGUGUGUGUGAGUGUGUGCCUGUGUUGACAUCAACCAAGAAACUUCCCUGACACUAUUCGUGAGAAAAGAACGACGCGCACUGCAAAGCAGCUAGCCAGAAGGUGUGCAGAAAAAGGAAAACCAGGUGCUGAAGUGUCAGCUAGACACCUCGGAGAACACAAUCAGUGCAGCCAGGAUUGCAAACACAUUGCGGAGCUCUCCUGCCUAAAGUCCAGCGAAGGAGCAGGAGGUUUCAUUUCGUGUGACAAGGUCUGGGUGAAGCAGAUUCCAGAGGUGAUUAACCAGAUGAGGCUUAGUUAAGGAUCCUGACCAUUUCACUCAGAUUCACUCCAAACAAGAGCUCCUAACUGUAUACCCCAGGAGCAACAAGAGAGGUCAUGUCUGAACGUGCACCUCAGAACCAGAAAGCAGUUUCAGCAGGGCAGCGCAGGACAAGAUGCUGAGGACACAGUGACCACCCUGCAACGAAAGUCUUGCCUGUGUCCCAUGUGAUGAACAGUUGUCUACCCAUAGUUUUCAACAUUACAUACUUUGGGCCGCUUGAACAGCUCAGCUCUUAUGUACCGGUAUCUGCACAGUUAACCAAUCUCCCGCUUCCGUGGCUUUGCCCCGAUAAGUGCCCAACUAACAGUUGACGACGCAAACACUAGUGAACUCGUCCAGGGGUGGCUGGAUUUUUCUUUUACUGUAUUCCCGUGUGCACUCGUGCUCUAUGACGAAAACACGCACGCGUGCACAGAACAUCAGAAAAAAAUAUAAGAAGUCUGCAAUCUGCCUCUUUUUUUUGUGUGUGUGUGUGUCUCAUACGGCAUAUCUUCGUUUGUAAGUGCGAGGUGGGGCCCGCCCUGGACGAGCUCUCUUGUGUUUGCGUCGUCAGCCGCUAGUUGGGCACUUAUCGGAGCAAAGCCACGAGAGCGGGAGAUCGGUUAACUGUGCGGAUACCUGUACACAAAAAGAUUUAGGACAUUACAGCAAAAGCUCGGUAUACUUGAGCAAAGCUCCCAGAAUUUUUACAACUUUGCACUGCUGAGAAUUCAGUUAGUUUAACAGCUGUGAUGUCUCACUACUUGCAUUUUCCCCAAGUAAAUCUUGGUCCCUGUUGCAAACGCCCUUGCCAAACAAAAGUGCCAUGUUCUCCGGUCCAUAAAAUAGUCUUAUUACUGAUGUGAGGCCACAGAGACAGUGGUCAGUAAUUUAGAUACCUGUUUGGAUUUUCACCUUUUAUCCCUUAGAUAUUUAUAGAUUUACCUCAGGUGCAAACAGUUAUGCUUUUAGGCUGCAGCAGAGCACCCUUUUGUGUUCCUAGUGACCUUUUGAUUGGCUUGCUGGUGCUUAACGAAUUUACACUCAGUCUUCUGUGCUGCUGUGCACACAAAGGUCAUGUGCCAUUAUGACAUUAUGUACAGCUUAUAUAAAGAUUUUCCAAUUUUGGAAUAUGUCCUGUACACCUUAGCAAGCCUCACACAAAUUUCGUAAGUUUUAGUGCUUGGCGUUGCUUACAGUUUAGUUUCUCGUGUUGACAACUAUUCAUUUCGAUUGGUUGUAUUUGUCACAUUCAUUUUACCGGUGAAUAUGCAGAGCCAAUUCAGUAACAAGCAAUCUGUUUUGCGUGCUGUUUUUCGAUACCUGUUGCAAAAAAUCUUUGCCAAACAAGAGCAUCGUGUACUAUAAAAGCACGUUUGUCUGAGAGAUGCAUCUUUUCAAAGUUUUCUUGUCGUCCUUUCCGUGUCCUAUUCUUUGCCAAGAUGACAAUGGGGAAUUGUGUGACCACAGACUGCAGCUUUUAGACAACUGUGUCCAGUUACUCUGGUCCAUAAAAAGGCACAGUAUAUGUGCCUUUUUUUACCUCAGUGGUUUUUAUACCCUUACAGUUUAGCUUUUUAUACAUGUGUAUGUACUAUUAGCAUUUACCUAAAGGUACAGUUUUACCUCUGCCUUCAGGGCAAAGCAGAGGACUAUUUUUUGUGAUAGUGAGUUUACCGAUGAUCUCGCCGGUGCUCUAAGUUCACCCUGUACGCAAGGCACGUAUGACCAUCUUGAUAUGCUCUCACACAAGUUUUGUUUUGCAAUUUACAUCUUAUAUAAGUUCUUCGCAAUAUUUUGUUACUGUGCCUUACAUUUGCUGUUGAUGUGUGAGGUUAUUUGCUUCCAUCUACCGGAAGGUUUUUAUGAAUAAACCUAGUUAUUUUUACAUUUG
Molecule: long non-coding RNA, 2581 nt
Organism: Ornithodoros turicata
Lineage: Eukaryota; Metazoa; Arthropoda; Arachnida; Ixodida; Argasidae
Exons: 5
Source: RefSeq, a predicted model, not a curated record